UAGGGAAUCUUCGGCAAUGGGGGCAACCCUGACCGAGCAACGCCGCGUGAGUGAAGAAGGUUUUCGGAUCGUAAAGCUCUGUUGUAAGAGAAGAACGUGUGUGAGAGUGGAAAGUUCACACAGUGACGGUAACUUACCAGAAAGGGACGGCUAACUACGUGCCAGCAGCCGCGGUAAUACGUAGGUCCCGAGCGUUGUCCGGAUUUAUUGGGCGUAAAGCGAGCGCAGGCGGUUUAAUAAGUCUGCAGUUAAAGGCAGUGGCUUAACCAUUGUUCGCUUUGGAAACUGUUAAACUUGAGUGCAGAAGGGGAGAGUGGAAUUCCAUGUGUAGCGGUGAAAUGCGUAGAUAUAUGGAGGAACACCGGUGGCGAAAGCGGCUCUCUGGUCUGUAACUGACGCUGAGGCUCGAAAGCGUGGGGAGCAAACAGG
This 429-nucleotide ribosomal RNA is filed under the name bacterium. Its description in RNAcentral is "partial 16S ribosomal RNA". It matches the Rfam family "Bacterial small subunit ribosomal RNA", at positions 355 to 776 of the family's 1533-position model. The record is from RNAcentral.